GAUUUCUGGUUUGAUGCGCUUGGCCCGCCUCCGUUAGGACGGUGAGUGCUGAUGCGCAUCUGCCAUCCUUCUAGAGAACUAUUCUGCUCUUCAAUGGGUAGGGUAGCGAUCUAGAUCUAUUACUUUGAAAAAAUUAGAGUGUUUAAAGCAGGCAUUUGCUAUGAAUACAUUAGCAUGGAAUAAUAAUUUAGGACUUCGGUUCUAUUUUGUUGGUUUCUAGGACUGAAGUAAUGAUUGAUAGGGAUAGUUGGGGGUGCUAGUAUUCAGAGGCCAGAGGUGAAAUUCUUGGAUUCUCUGAAGACUAACUUAUGCGAAAGCAUU
Molecule: ribosomal RNA, 321 nt
Filed under: Filosa sp.
Lineage: Eukaryota; Cercozoa
Description: SSU rRNA
Rfam family: Eukaryotic small subunit ribosomal RNA (bases 55-321)
Source: RNAcentral